RNAcentral lists this ribosomal RNA (253 nucleotides) under uncultured bacterium. Its description in RNAcentral is "partial 16S ribosomal RNA". It matches the Rfam family "Bacterial small subunit ribosomal RNA", at positions 524 to 776 of the family's 1533-position model. The record is from RNAcentral.
UACGGGGGGGGCAAGCGUUGUUCGGAAUUACUGGGCGUAAAGGGCUCGUAGGUGGCCAACUAAGUCAGACGUGAAAUCCCUCAGCUUAACUGGGGAACUGCGUCUGAUACUGGAUGGCUUGAGUUUGGGAGAGGGAUGCGGAAUUCCAGGUGUAGCGGUGAAAUGCGUAGAUAUCUGGAGGAACACCGGUGGCGAAGGCGGCAUCCUGGACCAACACUGACGCUGAGGAGCGAAAGCGUGGGGAGCGAACAGG